RNAcentral lists this ribosomal RNA (253 nucleotides) under uncultured bacterium. RNAcentral describes it as "partial 16S ribosomal RNA". It matches the Rfam family "Bacterial small subunit ribosomal RNA", at positions 524 to 776 of the family's 1533-position model. The record is from RNAcentral.
UACGUAGGGAGCAAGCGUUGUCCGGAAUCAUUGGGCGUAAAGGGCUCGUAGGCGGCCAACUAAGUCAGACGUGAAAUCCCUCGGCUUAACCGGGGAACUGCAUUUGUGACUGCAAGGCUAGAGUGUGUCAGAGGGGGGUAGAAUUCCACGUGUAGCAGUGAAAUGCGUAGAUAUGUGGAGGAAUACCGAUGGCGAAGGCAGCCCCCUGGGAUAACACUGACGCUCAUGCACGAAAGCGUGGGGAGCAAACAGG